RNAcentral lists this ribosomal RNA (650 nucleotides) under uncultured bacterium. RNAcentral describes it as "bacterial SSU rRNA". It matches the Rfam family "Bacterial small subunit ribosomal RNA", at positions 109 to 794 of the family's 1533-position model. The record is from RNAcentral.
AGUAACGCGUGGGAACGUACCUUUUGGUUCGGAACAACACAGGGAAACUUGUGCUAAUACCGGAUAAGCCCUUACGGGGAAAGAUUUAUCGCCGAAAGAUCGGCCCGCGUCUGAUUAGCUAGUUGGUGAGGUAACGGCUCACCAAGGCGACGAUCAGUAGCUGGUCUGAGAGGAUGAUCAGCCACAUUGGGACUGAGACACGGCCCAAACUCAUACGGGAGGCAGCAGUGGGGAAUAUUGGACAAUGGGCGCAAGCCUGAUCCAGCCAUGCCGCGUGAGUGAUGAAGGCCCUAGGGUUGUAAAGCUCUUUUGUGCGGGAAGAUAAUGACGGUACCGCAAGAAUAAGCCCCGGCUAACUUCGUGCCAGCAGCCGCGGUAAUACGAAGGGGGCUAGCGUUACUCGGAAUCACUGGGCGUAAAGGGUGCGUAGGCGGGUCUUUAAGUCAGGGGUGAAAUCCUGGAGCUCAACUCCAGAACUGCCCUUGAUACUGAGGAUCUUGAGUUCGGGAGAGGUGAGUGGAACUGCGAGUGUAGAGGUGAAAUUCGUAGAUAUUCGCAAGAACACCAGUGGCGAAGGCGGCUCACUGGCCCGAUACUGACGCUGAGGCACGAAAGCGUGGGGAGCAAACAGGAUUAGAUACCCUGGUAGU